Peromyscus californicus insignis is the source of this 1683-nucleotide long non-coding RNA. RefSeq lists it as uncharacterized. The record is from RefSeq and is a predicted model, not a curated record. The transcript is spliced from 2 exons. Lineage: Eukaryota; Metazoa; Chordata; Mammalia; Rodentia; Cricetidae.
AAUAUGAAGAUAUCGGACGUUUACAAUUCAGACUCAAGUUUUGUCCCUGAUAAUCCUCUGUUGGGGCAAAAAUCCUUACCUCCUUUUUCUCCUCAUUCUCAAUACACAGCACAGCAAGCAACUGGAUUCCUUCUCUCUCGCUUCUCUGCUUCUUCAGUUUUACAGUGGAAUGAAUGUCUUUUGUUAGGAAACUGUCCUGUGCUCUGUAAACUCACUGAAGCUGGCUCCAGAGAUUUCCUGGUACCAGAAAACACCAUGCAAGAUUCCAGACAUGGGAGACAACCCACAGUCCUUCCCAGCUCUGACACCUGUGAACCGCAUCAACCAGCAUGGCAUGACAACCCGGGUGCAGUUGUGGCAUGUGUACCUUGGACUAAAUUGGACUCAUUGGACUUAAGACCUGCUCAACAAGAGGGCAACCAUGCUUGAUACAGGAAACAAACCUAACUAUUCAGUGCUAGUGAGGUCAUGGUUAUUGGUGGAGAAUUUACAGCCACUAAUUUGCUAAAUCAGCAUCAUCCCUAACAACAAUCUGUAAACAUUUGUCCUUAUGCCCACAGAUAAGUGUGGUCUUCACCGCUCAUCAAGACAACUUCUCUUUGCAACAUAUGGAGACCACUACAGAAAAACACAAUCAAUCAAUAUGCAGAGUUGUAGAGCUCAGUCCCAAUGGAUACAUGUAUACAACACUUCCACAUCUAAGGCUCAGGGGUAAUUUAGUAAGAGGGGAUGGGAAGAUUGUAAGAGGCCGAGCAUCAGGAAGUUUGUUGUGAGGUUGUGUCUCCUAGUGUGGUCAGAAACUAUGCCCAUAAAGUCUCACUAACAUGACUGCUCAAGAAUGAACAAUGAGGACACCAAUGGCCAGACCAACAUGGGCAGAGAAGAGCCCAUGAGGCCUCAACCCCACAUAAAAAACUACAGGCAACUGAGGGAAGCUGGGAAUGGAGAGAGCACACCAGUCACUUGUCCAGUACCAAAUAGUCAGCCCUGAAAACAUCCAUACAAGUAACAGGGACUGAAGUAGCUAUAUUUAGAAAUAUACAUGUGUAUAUGUAUGUACAUAUUUGCAUGCAAUAAUAGUUAAUGAAAAAAGAAGCCAUGAAUUUGGUGGAGAGCAGGGAUUGUUAUAUUGGAAGGGUUCUGAGGGAGAAAAGGAAAGGAGAAAUGUUAUAUUGUUUACCUUCCCUGGCCAGGGAGGCUAAAUCUCUUCACAAUAAAAGGUCUGUGAAAAGAUCUAUAAGGGAUUACCAGUGGAAUCCAGACUUAAGAGUGAUGUGAACAAAGCACUUCCACAUUUAUUCUUAAAGCAAGAGAAAUGUGAGGUGACUUUUACAGUUAACCUAAGCAAAUAGAAGGGCACUGAGGGAAUUCAGCUGGUGGUAUGUCUUAUCAUCUUUGGUCAUAUGAACAGAGCCAAAAGUAUCCCACCCAGGCCUUUUCCUUUUCCGUAGAGGUAAUGUGUACAUGCCAUGCCGUUCCCUCAUGUCCUUGCUUUCAAGUGCAUUCACUUAUGGUUUAUACAUUUUUUUUUUCUAGAAAGCUACCUGGGGAAAAGAACAUUCUGCACUCCAUCCAUAUUUUACUGUUAAGUUUAAAGCUAUUUUAAACAUAGGCUCCUGAUAUUAUAAUCUCAGAAAGAAUUACAAAUGGCUAGUAAACUCUCUCUCUCUCUUUUUUUUUUUU